This 3539-nucleotide long non-coding RNA is filed under the name Sander lucioperca (pikeperch). RNAcentral's name for it is "lncRNA (ENSSLUG00000013316.1)". The record is from RNAcentral. Lineage: Eukaryota; Metazoa; Chordata; Actinopteri; Perciformes; Percidae.
CUGGUUUUAACAACUUUUUUAGGACUCAAGCCCAAAUUCUUGAACACUGAAAUGUGCAGGCUGCUGCAUGCCCCCCACUCUCCUAAAAUCUUUUAAAAGGAUGUCCUCUCUCUCUCUCUCUCUCUCUCUCUCUCUCUCUCUCUCUCUCUCUCUCUCUCUCUCUCUCCUCUCUCUCUCUCUCUCUCUCUCUCUCUCUCUCUCUCUCUCUCUCUCUCUCUCUCAUCGUGUUUACAGCCUCGGAGAGCGUUGCAUAUCUGACAUUUCUCUCUCAAACUCCAACCAGCUCUGUUCUCAUCCGAAAGCAGCAGAGAGAAGACAGAAAAGAGAAGAGGUCACUGUUUUGUCUUGUGUAACCGGGACUGAACCACUUCAGGCCACGCUGCUGAAAAAAACACCCAGACCUGAGCUCAUCUCCAGCUACCAGCAGCGGUUUGAUUCCCCUGAUUUCACCUCCUUCAAACCAGCCCGGACCAGCUCAGUCCAGCUCCGCUCGGUCCAAACAGGCCCCGCAGCCUGACCCAACUCUCUCCUCUCGUAAUCCAGCCAAUCAAAAAUCUAGCCAGCCCGCUGUCUCCAUGGAGCGCGUUCAGCACAUGACCAAGUCGGCCAUUCGCCGAGCGUCUCAGAUUGAGGUGAAUCCACAAGCCAAGAGGAACCUGCAGGAGCUGUUUGUCAACUUCACCCUCAUCCUCAUCUGCCUGCUCCUCAUUUACGUCAUCGUCCUGCUGAGCAGCUGAGAGCAGCCGAGCCAUACGCAGAGAGAGAGUUUGGCAUGGCCGUGCGGCUGCGGGCCAGGGUUUGGCUGAGAUAUGGGCUUUCUGAUUUCUUAUAAAGCAAUAAUAUUAGGGCUGCACCAUAUAUCGUUUUAAAUCAUCAUAGCAAUAUUAACUGGCGCAAUACAACACAUCGAGAAAGGCUGCAACACACAAGACGCUCUGAGAUUUGUUAUCAGUAGAAAACUGCACUUUAAAAGGUAACUGUCAUUUUAUAUUCCAUCCAAUGUUCAAUUUGUUCAAUACAAUGUUGGAAAUGUUGGAAAUGAUUUCCUUCCAUUUGUUUUAAAUUCAACAAGCAAUUUGUUGUAUUUUAGCAGAGACACUGAAAGCAGCAGAAAUGCAGAUCUGACUACACUUAGAUGUAAGUUUAUUUAUCCCAAGUAAUGUUGCUAUUACAACGUUAUCGUAUAUUUUCCUCAUAUCAUGCAGCCCUAAAUAAUAUCAACCCCAUACAUCGGCCUAACCCUGUUUGACCACAGCUGUAAAGAAGGAUCAUGGAGGUCAAAUGAAUCCAUGUGAAAACAAUAAUGGCCAAACCCUCUCAAAUUGUUUCUAUCAGAGCUGAUCAGGGAUCAGUUUCCCAGCCUCUCGCUCUCAAGGGAAUGAUCAACAGCUUAAACUUCACUCAUGUACUGUGUGUAUGUCAAUCGGCCUGCUGCUCAUUCAAAAAUAACACCCUGCCCAGUGAUUACAUUACAAUGUGUUGACUUAAGUUGAUUUACAAAGAAGACUGACUCCCUCCAUCCAAGGCACACUGUAGGACAUUGUCUCCUGCUUAAGUAUUAAUAGGUACAAUGUGUAUAAUACCGAAAUAUCAAUACAUCACUGUUUCAUUUCCGUUUCCCCAUAAACUCUGUCGCUUCCUGCAGCCCACCACCACCAGGAGAAAGAUAAACAUGCUGGAAAUGAAUUUUUUUUUCCAUUAGCAUUUUUAUGUCCUGUCCAGAGACAUGGCUGUACUGUCUGUGGCAUCAGGUUUCUGUAUUUAAAAACUUCUGCUGGCAUCUUGGCGGUUAUUAGAGCCUAAAAAUCCAAAAAUGUAGCCAAGAAAGCAACACACACUGUGGCUGACCCUGAUAGGCUAAGAAACCUGUCAAUGAAGUAAAGUCCCUUUCAUCAUCAGUAUGACAGAUGACCAACUGUGUAAUAUCUGCCAUGUCUGCAGCAUGUCUGAUAUUACACUUAAGUGGCCGUUUCUUGCCUGACAUAUAACACUUAUGAUACUUAGAGAUAAUUCUAAGUACUGUAGGCCUAUAAAGUAUGUGACGUAUAGACUGAGAGCAUAUUUAACCUUUAGGCAGCUUACCUGCAGGUGUUUCUGAUGGGCUACGUGAACAUUUCACUCAUAAUUUACUAUGUAAAGUAUGGACUAAACUUGGCUUGGGCUUCAGCGAUCAAUACACACACACACACACACACCACACACACACACACACACACACACACACACACACACACACACACACACACACACGCCUGACAUAUACACUAAAUGCAGUUUAUGAGUUGUGAAGAAGACUUCACUUUGCAUGGUGUGAAUUGACUUAAUGAAGUUUUCUGUUUAUGCCAUUUAAGUUCUGUUUAGAUAACAUAACUAUUAUUGACGAAUGCUGACAUUUUUACAGUGCGUGCCCUGAUGCUGGCAGUGACGGUGUUUAAAAAUAAACUGUAAAGUCAGAUGUGUAUUCCACAAGAAUCUAAUAUAUAUAUUUACAAAAAUAAAAAAAUAAAAAAAUUAUAAUUUAUCUUCAAUAUAUUGCCAUGACUGAAAAUGUAAAAAUAUGAAUUAUAUUUCAAUUUGGGAUUAAAAAAAUGAUUGAGAAGAAAUAGCAGUUUUUUUUUCCUUCUAUGUAUGCUUGGAAAUUGUACCACAUGACUUUCGAACUAUGGAACACCAAAGAAAUUGCAUGUCAAUAAAAUUUAAGUGGUUUCUCCUGCUACAAGUGUGGAUUAUUUUAUUUAUUGCACAUCCUAAUUUGACGUUUUUGAAAGAUAUGCAUUUAGAUGUAAGAAUCACUGAAGUCACUGAAAAAGCUUCAAAGGCUAAUUUGACCCGUCUAUGAGUGUGAAGGUUAAUAGAUUAUGCAGAUAACCACUGGUUUGCACAAUUAAAAUAAAAAUAUAAUAUAGGAACAAUAGUCUGAAGACGUGACACAACUUUUUCCAUUGUGUUAGGAGAGUAGGUUUGGUUCAAAGCUUACGUUUAAUGAGUCCUGGACAUCCUUACAGCUGCUAUUUUCAACAUUUCUAUACUAACAAUAGAAGAAAUGACUUAUGCUUAUAGCUUGUUUAUGCUGCCCCCAAGUGGCACAAAAUAGAACAUCAAUAUCAGAUAAAAAGUUAUUGGAAAAGUCCAUAAUCAUUUUCAAAAAUACCACUGUAGUUUUUUACAUGUUGUUUACAACUUUGAGACAUUAACUUUUUGGAAUAUUAUUUUCCACUGUAUUAGCUUCUCUGCCCUGUAUUAGCUUCUCUGCAUUGGCUUCCUGUAAAAUCCAGGAUUGAAUUUAAAAUCCUUCUCCUGACCUACAAAGCACUAAAUGGUCAAGCACCAUCAUACAUAGAAGAGCUCUUAGUACCUUAUUGUCCCACUAGGGCACUGCGCUCCCAGAACGCAGAGCUACUUGUGGUUCCUAGAGUCUCUAAAAGUAGAAUGGGAGCCAGAGCCUUCAGCUAUCAGGCUCCUCUCCUGUGGAACCAGCUCCCAACUUGGGUUCGGGGGGCUGACACCGUCGCCACAUUUAAGAAUAAACUGAAAACCAU